Etheostoma cragini (Arkansas darter) is the source of this 151-nucleotide long non-coding RNA. RefSeq lists it as uncharacterized. The transcript is spliced from 3 exons. NCBI's taxonomy places the organism in Eukaryota, Metazoa, Chordata, Actinopteri, Perciformes, Percidae. The record is from RefSeq and is a predicted model, not a curated record.
UACACAAUCAAACAUACACAAUCCCCCCCUGACUCUUAGCAAACAAGUGAUUGCGCCUGCUUUAGAAAGGUAACUAGUUGCAAGUUUGCGGUAAAAUGCAGUUGGGUUGUUCAAAACACUAUGUAGCAGCUGUGAAGCAAAUAAAUUUACU